RNAcentral lists this ribosomal RNA (449 nucleotides) under uncultured bacterium. Its description in RNAcentral is "partial 16S ribosomal RNA". It matches the Rfam family "Bacterial small subunit ribosomal RNA", at positions 354 to 796 of the family's 1533-position model. The record is from RNAcentral.
GUGGGGAAUAUUCCGCAAUGGACGAAAGUCUGACGGAGCAACGCCGCGUGAGUGAUGAAGGUUUUCGGACUGUAAAGCUCUGUUGUUUAGGACGAAAGUGCCUGUUGCGAACAGUUACAGGUAUUGACGGUACUAAACGAGGAAGCCACGGCUAACUACGUGCCAGCAGCCGCGGUAAUACGUAGGUGGCAAGCGUUGUCCGGAAUUAUUGGGCGUAAAGAGCAUGUAGGCGGAGAUUUAAGUCUGUUGUGAAAAUGCGGGGCUCAACCCCGUAUUGCGAUGGAAACUGAAUUUCUUGAGUGCAGGAGAGGAAAGGGGAAUUCCCAGUGUAGCGGUGAAAUGCGUAGAUAUUGGGAGGAACACCAGUGGCGAAGGCGCCUUUCUGGACUGUGUCUGACGCUGAGAUGCGAAAGCCAGGGUAGCGAACGGGAUUAGAAACCCUGUAGUCC